GCAUUGGUGGCUCAGUGGUAGAGUUCUCACCUGCCAUGCGGGAGACCCGAGUCCGAUUCCCGGCCAAUGAA
RNAcentral lists this transfer RNA (71 nucleotides) under Danio rerio (zebrafish). It matches the Rfam family "tRNA". Rfam says of the family: Transfer RNA (tRNA) molecules are approximately 80 nucleotides in length. Their secondary structure includes four short double-helical elements and three loops (D, anti-codon, and T loops). The record is from Rfam by way of RNAcentral. Lineage: Eukaryota; Metazoa; Chordata; Actinopteri; Cypriniformes; Danionidae.